GGCGGGCUUAUCAGGGAUGCGGGGGCGGGCUUAUCAGGGAUGCGGGGGUGGGAGGUGCUUCCCUGAUAUGCCCUGCCCCCACAUAACCUCCCACACAUGGUGGUCUCAUUUGUUCUCUAUAUGAAAAUGAGAAAGGGUCUGAUUGUGAACUGGGAGAUUGUUGUCGUCCUCCAAACACUGUACUCUACUCGUGUGUGUGUGUAGGGGGUUCUGUGUUAAAAAAAAAAAAAAAAAAAAAAAAAAAAGUGUGUAUUCAUUUGAAGUAAUGUUUUUCUUGUACAGUAUCUCCCUUCCGCCCAGUCACGUGACUUAGUGCUUACGUCCCAAAUAACAACCUAUUCCCUAUAUAGUGCACUACCUUUGAGCAAAAGUAGAGUCGUAUGGGCCCUGAUGAAUGUAGUGCACUGUAUAGGAAAUAAGUAGCUUUUUUGGGGACCGUUCCAAGAUGUACAGAGUAAUUUAAAACACUAUACUGUAUUAGUAUGUAGUCAUUUGAAUGAUUUUUUGUUGUUCAGAUCUUUUGGUAGUUUCAUUUUGAAUAUACUGAAGUCUCAAGGACAAAGAGUUUGUUAGUUUAAAGAUAUUCCAUUUUUAUGGUGUUGGUUGGUGACAUUGUUACUGCUCCUGUGCACUAAGGUGAAACCUGUAUCUUUUCUCUCUCUCUCUCUCUCUCUCUCUCUGUCUCUCUCUCUCUCUCUGUCUCUCUCUCUCUCUGUCUCUCUCUCUCUCUCUGUAUCUCAAGUGUUUAUCUGUUUUCGUUCAGCUGUUCAUUUAACCAGCAGAAUGUCCGCUAUAGGUAGAAGACUGCUGGUAAGGCAGAGCGGUACAGUAAAACAGAAUCACACUAAUUCAAAUAAAAUAUCUAGAACAGACAUUUCAAGUCGACCGUGUUCUAUUUAUAUGAUCAGACCUGCUGCCCUGGUCUCUAAACUGAAAGGUGAUCAGACCUGCUGCCCUGGUCUCUAAACUGAAAGGUGAUCAGACCUGCUGCCCUUGUCUCUAAACUGAAAGGUGAUCUGACCUGCUGCCCUGGACUCUAAACUGAAAGGUGAUCAAGACCUGCUGCCCUGGUCUCUAAACUGAAAGGUGAUCAGACCUGCUGCCCUGGUCUCUAAACUGAAAGGUGAUCAGACCUGCUGCCCUGGUCUCUAAACUGAAAGGUGAUCUGACCUGCUGCCCUGGUCUCUAAACUGAAAGGUGAUCAGACCUGCUGCCCUUGUCUCUAAACUGAAAGGUGAUCAGACCUGCUGCCCUUGUCUCUAAACUGAAAGGUGAUCAGACCUGCUGCCCUUGUCUCUAAACUGAAAGGUGGUCUGACCUGCUGCCCUUGUCUCUAAACUGAAAGGUGAUCAGACCUGCUGCCCUUGUCUCUAAACUGAAAGGUGAUCAGACCUGCUGCCCUUGUCUCUAAACUGAAAGGUGAUCAGACCUGCUCAUGGUGAAGCCAUUGUCCAGCUGACAGACCGGUAUAAUGUGUGGAUCAGCAUCUAGAUGUAUAUUCUGUCUGUUCUUAAUGCUGCGUCGGAACACUGAGGGAGGUCUCAGGUCCGCUUUUCAGUCUGUCCAAUGGGCAUAGAGAACGCAUACUGUACAUGAUAGAGAUGCCUCAUCCUCUAACGUGAUAUUGAGAGUGAGCUGACGAUAUGAAGCGCGUCGGGAAUAGACAUUUUACAGGGAUGAUCACCUUUUUAAUUCAGCAACUUUGACUUGAAGGUCAAUUCCACUCCCAAAAUGAUAUUUUUGUGUAUAUUUGUUUCAUUCGUCCACUGUUGAUACAGCCCCCCAAAAAAUGUUUUGCAGUGCAGCAAUCCAGUUUUCAAGAUAUAGAACUUUGAAAACGCUAAUUGUCACUUGUCACCAUCAAUCAGCCUACUGUAUAAUUACACUGAAAUAUUUAGUAUUUAUACAAAAGUUUAACUUGAACAUAAUGUCACAUGCUUCAUAACUAACAGGGGUAGAUUUAAGUAAGCAUUUCACUGUCGGUCUACACGUAUUGUUUACAAAAGCAUGUGACAUGACAUUUGAUUUGAACCCUACAGCCAUCUGGUUACAGAUGGUCUCUUUUGUGUGUUCAUGGUUAAUGUCAAAUGUAGAGAGAGAAGGACAUUUGUUUAAUUUUUACGGUGUACUUUCGAUGUGACCAGCAGAGCGUGCCAGUGUUAGUCAGGGUCGUCUUUAUUGGUGACAACGGCACAACUUUUAUACACACCAUAUCUAUCUGUAGUCUUUGCCUUAAACUUUUCAAAGAACAGUCACCAACCAACAUACACUUGAUACAUGUAAAUAAAGGUAGCCAUAUACUGUAUUACUGCGGUGUGAUGUCGUUAUUUUGAACCUAACAGGAAACCUAUAGAUGUGUUUUGUUUUCUAAAGUCCCAUUCUGGGAUUUAAAGAUGUCAUUUUAAUGUCGUGUCUGGGGUCUAAGCCCUGCAUUUGGAAAGUAUUCAGACCCCUUGACUUUUU
This is a long non-coding RNA of Oncorhynchus tshawytscha (Chinook salmon), 2463 nucleotides long. The record is from Ensembl. NCBI's taxonomy places the organism in Eukaryota, Metazoa, Chordata, Actinopteri, Salmoniformes, Salmonidae.